AUGGCCCUGCCAAUUCACUUCAUGUCGGUUCUGCCGUUGCCGGCAUGGGCACUGAAGACAAUCAACAGGAGAUGCCGGGGUUUUAUUUGGAAAGGAGACAUUGAUAUUAGUGGUGGACACUGCCUUUUACCUUGGGAUAUGGUGUGCAUGCCCAAGGCGUAUGGGGGCCUGGGUGUGCUGAAUCUCAAAUGGUUAGGUUAUGCCCUCCACUGUAGAUGGCCAUGUUUGAGAUGGGACACGGAAGAAAGGUCGUGGCAUCAACUUCUGAAGGCUCGGGAGAAGGAGGUCUCAUCCAUAUUUAAAGCGGCGACAUCAGUUUGCUUAGGUGAUGGACAGAAGGCGAAAUUCUGGAAUGACAAGUGGCUACCUGGAGGGAAUCGUAUUUGGAUUAGGGAUAUCUCGGGAGGGAUUUUGGUGCAAGCCAUGGCUCAAUAUCUCAAAAUUUGGGACAUCACCUCAGGUGUCUCCUUAUCCGUGGGUGUUCCUAAUUGUCUAGUUUGGAAGUGGACAGAAGAUCGCAAGUUUUCUGUUGGUAGCCCAUAUAACAUGUUCUUUGCUGCAAAUGUGCACUUUGCUUGCCACAAGCUGAUAUGGAAAUCCAAAGCUCCCCCGAAAUGCAAAUUAUUUAUGUGGCUUGUUGUUCAUCGCAGGUGCUUGACCGCAGAUAAUUUGGAGACGAAGGGUUCGCCUUCUAAUGGCAACUGUCCGUUGUGCGUCUCGGCGCACGAAGACCGCACACAUCUUUUUGGGCAUUGCCGUUUCACCAACAGGUUUGGAUGAUGGUUCAGAGACUGGACGCGGGCAAACUUUCUAGUCCCUGAUGACCGCUAUGCCAAUACCGAAGAUUGGUGGCUGAGAGCACAGAAGGAGGUCCCCAAGUCCAAGAGCCGCAACUUCAACACCAUUAUCAUUCUCAUACACUAGAGGAUCUGGAGGGAAAGGAAUGCCAAAAUUUUUGAGCCUGUGGCGUGCAGCGUUGAAAGGGUGCUUGCUUUAAUCAGGGAAAACAUCAGGGCCUGGAGGGUAGCUGGCUGUAUCGGUGACCUUUUUUGA
This 1053-nucleotide ribosomal RNA is filed under the name Triticum aestivum (bread wheat). RNAcentral's name for it is "partial small subunit ribosomal RNA". Lineage: Eukaryota; Viridiplantae; Streptophyta; Magnoliopsida; Poales; Poaceae. The record is from RNAcentral.